RNAcentral lists this ribosomal RNA (891 nucleotides) under uncultured archaeon. RNAcentral's name for it is "bacterial SSU rRNA". It matches the Rfam family "Archaeal small subunit ribosomal RNA", at positions 21 to 919 of the family's 1478-position model. The record is from RNAcentral.
CCUGACUGCUAUCGGAUUGAUACUAAGCCAUGCGAGUCAUUGUAGCAAUACAAGGCAGACGGCUCAGUAACGCGUAGUCAAUCUACCCUAUGGACGGGAAUAACCUCGGGAAACUGAGAAUAAUGCCCGAUAGAACAUUAUGCCUGGAAUGGUUUAUGUUUCAAAUGAUUUAUCGCCAUAGGAUGGGACUGCGGCCUAUCAGUUUGUUGGUGAGGUAAUGGCCCACCAAGACUAUUACAGGUACGGGCUCUGAGAGGAGUAGCCCGGAGAUGGGUACUGAGACACGGACCCAGGCCCUAUGGGGCGCAGCAGGCGAGAAAACUUUGCAAUGUGCGAAAGCACGACAAGGUUAAUCCGAGUGGUUUCUGCUAAAGAAACCUUUUGUCAGUCCUAGAAACACUAACGAAUAAGGGGUGGGCAAGUUCUGGUGUCAGCCGCCGCGGUAAAACCAGCACCUCAAGUGGUCAGGAUGAUUAUUGGGCCUAAAGCAUCCGUAGCUCGUUUUGUAAGUUUUCGGUUAAAUCCAUGCGCUUAACGUAUGGGCUGCCGGGAAUACUGCAUAACUAGGAAGUGGGAGAGGUAGACGGUACUCGGGAGGAAGGGGUAAAAUCCUUUGAUCUCUUGAUGACCACCUGUGGCGAAGGCGGUCUACCAGAACACGUUCGACGGUGAGGGAUGAAAGCUGGGGGAGCAAACCGGAUUAGAUACCCGGGUAGUCCUAGCUGUAAACUAUGCAAACUCAGUGAUGCAUUGGCUUAUGGCCAAUGCAGUGCUGCAGGGAAGCCGUUAAGUUUGCCGCCUGGGAAGUACGUACGCAAGUAUGAAACUUAAAGGAAUUGGCGGGGGAGCACCACAAGGGGUGAAGCCUGCGGUUCAAUUGGAUUCAACGCC